CUCUAUGUUGGGAGUUACAAAAAUCGUUAACAAAUUGAGUGAAAAAGAAACAUUCUCUAUGUCAGGAGUUACAAGAACUUGAUGUAAAUCAACCAAGUACGAUCUAAAUGAAUCUUAAAUGAGUUAUUUUAUUUGGAUUCAUAUAUGAUUUAUAUAGUAAUAUCCUCUCUGAGAGUUAGAUUGAAUUCUAUAAUGACUUUGUGCUCAUAUCUGACACACACUCAAUCUUUUGUAAUCUCGCACAAUAGGGACAACCAUCUUUGUAAAAUGCUAAGUAUGGAGAGACAUGUAAACACUUAAUUACCAAACACUAGGAGCUUGUCAGAAUUGUUGAGAAGACUAUAAGACUUCUAGUGGAUUGCCUAAAGAGGCGGUUUGAACAAUACUUAUAGUAUGGAGAGACUUUUAAACACUUAGUUCCUCAACAACACAAGUUUUACACGAGUAAUGAGAAGACUAGAAGGUCUCUAGUGGAAAGUCUAGAGAGGCACUAUAAAACUCAACUCAAAAGGCGAGUGGAGCUAAUAGUAUUAAAUAAUCUAAAGACUAUAUAUUUGAUGAGUAUGAAUAAGUUCUGAAUAAAUACUCAGUCUGGAGAGGCAAAGAAAAAAAAUACUCAAUUCAAAAUGCAAGUGAAGCAGUAGGCUUGA
RNAcentral lists this long non-coding RNA (650 nucleotides) under Cicer arietinum (chickpea). RNAcentral describes it as "long non-coding RNA (CARI_LNC000201)". Lineage: Eukaryota; Viridiplantae; Streptophyta; Magnoliopsida; Fabales; Fabaceae. The record is from RNAcentral.